Molecule: ribosomal RNA, 483 nt
Filed under: uncultured bacterium
Lineage: Bacteria
Description: partial 16S ribosomal RNA
Rfam family: Bacterial small subunit ribosomal RNA
Source: RNAcentral
UUGAACGCUGGCGGCAGGCCUAACACAUGCAAGUCGAGCGGAUGAAGGGAGCUUGCUCCUGGAUUCAGCGGCGGACGGGUGAGUAAUGCCUAGGAAUCUGCCUGGUAGUGGGGGAUAACGUCCGGAAACGGGCGCUAAUACCGCAUACGUCCUGAGGGAGAAAGUGGGGGAUCUUCGGACCUCACGCGAUCAGAUGAGCCUAGGUCGGAUUAGCUAGUUGGUGGGGUAAAGGCCUACCAAGGCGACGAUCCGUAACUGGUCUGAGAGGAUGAUCAGUCACACUGGAACUGAGACACGGUCCAGACUCCUACGGGAGGCAGCAGUGGGGAAUAUUGGACACUGGGCGAAAGCCUGAUCCAGCCAUGCCGCGUGUGUGAAGAAGGUCUUCGGAUUGUAAAGCACUUUAAGUUGGGAGGAAGGGCAGUAAGUUAAUACCUUGCUGUUUUGACGUUACCAACAGAAUAAGCACCGGCUAACUUCGUG